AGGAAUAUUGGUCAAUGGACGCAAGUCUGAACCAGCCAUGCCGCGUGGAGGAUGAAGGUCCUCUGGAUUGUAAACUUCUUUUAUCUGGGACGAAACACUUCUUUUCUAAGAGGCCUGACGGUACCAGAUGAAUAAGCACCGGCUAACUCCGUGCCAGCAGCCGCGGUAAUACGGAGGGUGCAAGCGUUAUCCGGAUUCACUGGGUUUAAAGGGUGCGUAGGUGGGCUUAUAAGUCAGUGGUGAAAUCUCCGAGCUUAACUUGGAAACUGCCGUUGAUACUAUAGGUCGUGAAUUAUCUGGAGGUAAGCGGAAUAUGUCAUGUAGCGGUGAAAUGCUUAGAUAUGACAUAGAACACCAAUUGCGAAGGCAGCUUACUACAUAUAAAUUGACGCUGAGGCACGAAAGCGUGGGGAUCAAACA
Molecule: ribosomal RNA, 420 nt
Filed under: uncultured bacterium
Lineage: Bacteria
Description: bacterial SSU rRNA
Rfam family: Bacterial small subunit ribosomal RNA
Source: RNAcentral